UACGUAGGGUGCGAGCGUUAAUCGGAAUUACUGGGCGUAAAGAGUGCGUAGGCGGUUCGUUAAGUCAGCUGUGAAAGCCCCGGGCUCAACCUGGGAACUGCGGUUGAAACUGGCGAACUAGAAUCUGGCAGAGGGGGGCGGAAUUCCACGUGUAGCAGUGAAAUGCGUAGAGAUGUGGAGGAACACCGAUGGCGAAGGCAGCCCCCUGGGCUGAGAUUGACGCUCAGGCACGAAAGCGUGGGGAGCAAACAGG
RNAcentral lists this ribosomal RNA (253 nucleotides) under uncultured bacterium. RNAcentral's name for it is "partial 16S ribosomal RNA". It matches the Rfam family "Bacterial small subunit ribosomal RNA", at positions 524 to 776 of the family's 1533-position model. The record is from RNAcentral.